CGCAGCAACAGGUCACACCACACGCCUUUUCGAAGGAACACCUUGCCUUUAAUUUCCAGAAGUGGUAUUACACUUAACAAAUGAACAAGGGAUAACAAUUGCUGUUUCAGUCCAGACCCAAUUUCACCAAAUAAUUUCACUCAAGAGCUAUUAUUGACAAGCACCGUGGGCUCAAUGGUGUCAAGUUGUACUUGUGGUUUCAACACCCCGCAGCAACCCACGUAGCCGCUGGGCCCUGGAUUAGGACCCCCAGUCUGGCAGUGCUUAUCUGCCCGUCUGAGUGAUGGAGAGAUGAGUAUCAGUCUAUACCUCAACUGCUUCAAGCCCGCCUGGGCUUUCUCCCUGGCGCCUUUGUCUGUGUCAGGGUUGGAGCAACGAAACUGAAAGAUCUCCAGAGUUUGAAAACAGAGUGAAAGAGCAAAUUUAAUAAAUGAGAGCUCAGCCUUGAAUCUUAGUCUUUAUUAAUAGAGUCAUGUCCCUCACACCCAAAUAACUAUCAAACUUCAAACCACAUGUACUGUUUUUCAGAGUUCGGGUUCUUUCCUGGGUUCAUCAUGAAAGGUGUGAGGGAUGAAGGGGAAAAGGGUCUGAGGAGUUGGCAGG
RNAcentral lists this long non-coding RNA (603 nucleotides) under Homo sapiens (human). RNAcentral's name for it is "HSALNT0065072". The record is from RNAcentral. Lineage: Eukaryota; Metazoa; Chordata; Mammalia; Primates; Hominidae.